This 1993-nucleotide long non-coding RNA is filed under the name Salvia miltiorrhiza (redroot sage). RNAcentral describes it as "long non-coding RNA (SMIL_LNC000498)". The record is from RNAcentral. Lineage: Eukaryota; Viridiplantae; Streptophyta; Magnoliopsida; Lamiales; Lamiaceae.
GGCAUCUGAGUGGGGAGUUGGUCCGGUGGUGAUGGCAAAGGGAGAUGAGGCGUCGACGGCGCUGCUGUCCGUCCGGUGGUGGUGGUCUGCCACUGACCGAAGAGAGAGAGAUUUCGAGGGAGGUCAGUGGCGGAGGUUGGCUUUCUCAGCUAAUGCGUCCGUCGGAUGAGGGAAGGAGGCGGCAUCACGUGGGUGGCGUCGUAGUCGGCGGGAGUCAGAGAGAGGGAGGCCAGGGCGCGGCGGCCCUGCCGCUGUCGCUCGGCCACAGACGGAGAGAGAGAUGGGGACGAGAGAAGGGAGAACCGAGGGUGUCAGUGGCUGUCGCCGCUUGCUCCGGCGAGCUCCGGCGGCGGUGGAUUUCGAUGGUGGAGGGGUGGAUUUUCUGGCAGAACUGAGGGAGAAGGGGGCGAGCAGAUUUUGAGAAGGAGAUAGGGAGACCCGUGUGUGUGCGUUGAGUGAGGAAAUAGGAGAGUUAGGGCUAGAGUGUUGGGCUUCUAUUUUGGGCCGAUUUUAAUAAGCUGGGCUGCCCCUUUUUUGUUGGGCUAGGAUUAUUCAUUGAGUGUUGGGCUGGUUUAUUUUAAAUUUUUAGGCCCGAUUUUUCUUAUUUAUUUGUUGGGUUACAGAUUUUUCAAAAGAGAUUGGGCCCUAUUAUUUAAUUUCUUGGGCUGCCUUUUUCUAAAAUUGGGUCAUGCAGUUUACUUUUAAUUAAUUAGACUUAAUUGGUUUGAUUAAUUAUUUUUAAAGAAUAAUUUGCUUAAUAAUAUUAUAUGAUUAUUAUGUGUAUAUUUUAAGUAAUCACUUAUUAUAUGCUAAGCAUGACAUGACAUUGCAUUUGCAUAAUGCAAUAAAAUAAUUUAUGAUUUAAUUGGUCUUAUUUGUAAAUCCAAUUAUUUAAGAAAAAGCGAGUAAGGAUAUUGUUGGUGUCGUUGACUCAAGAGUUAAUUUUUAAUUAUUUAUUUAUUAAAUUUUGAAAACCCGACGUGAUGAAUCAUAGUAGUUAAACACACCCACUAAGACUUUAAGUUAGUUUCACGAGACCUAUUAAGAAUAGAAUUUCUUGUAGGCUUUGUGGACCAAGGGGAUUAGCGCUGCUUUCCCGAGAUGAGUUUAUGUGAUUAUGAUCUUCAGGCUUGGCCUAUCCAGGUGGGUUUACUUUCCAAAUGUAUAAGUAUGAUUGAGUUAUUAAGCUCUAAAUGUUUCAAUGAAAUGCAAACUGUUUUUUCAAUAAAGUGCAAACUGUUUAUCCAAUAAAAUGUUUAUGUGCACUCUGCUCUGUUUAAGGCUCGCAAAGUUAAUCAAUUGAGGUUCUCUUAUGAUCUAACACGUUAUUUGAGAAUUGUGUGCACUUGUUAGCUGACUUGGUGGGUUGAUCUCCAUCGGGCACUAACCAAGCGUUAUAAGGGUCUCGGCUGAUGUGUUCCGAGCAUGAGAAAUAUGAGGCCUGUCUAGGUAGCGUCCCGAGGUCAAAGUAAACUUGUCUGGGUUACGCCCUCAGUUCAAGUAAGCAGGAGACAGAGAUCCGUUGGUGGCUAAAAGGUCCGGAUCACAGCGAGUAACAGAAAUGGAGUGUGACAUGUGCGCACAAAUGAAAGAAAUUAUUUUAAUAUGCUUAGAAGUUCUUUCAAUUUAAAACCUUCUAAGUUAUGUCAAUUAUGAUUGGAUAAACUGUCUUUACGAAAAUAUGAAAUGUUUCAGAAAAUGCAUGCCCACUAAGUACAUUAGUACUUAGCCCAAAAGUACUUUCAAAUGUUUUCAGGUUGGCUGGCUGGUGCUGACGGGACUGAGCUGAGGCUAGGGUUCAACUUCAUUUUAAGACUUCUGCUGUAGCAGUAGAUAAUAUCAUGUAUUUUGAAUUCUUAACUUAAGAUUUUCAUGUUAGAUUUAGAAUGACAUCUCUGAUUGAGCUUAAACACUUAACUCCUAAUUUUAUGCUAAUGAAUACGGGUUAUGAGAAGCAUGAAACAAAACUUGUGAUCCAAAGGGGCCUAACCCG